RNAcentral lists this ribosomal RNA (270 nucleotides) under uncultured bacterium. RNAcentral describes it as "partial 16S ribosomal RNA". It matches the Rfam family "Bacterial small subunit ribosomal RNA", at positions 524 to 794 of the family's 1533-position model. The record is from RNAcentral.
UACGGAGGAUGCAAGCGUUAUCCGGAUUCAUUGGGUUUAAGGGUGCGUAGGCGGACCUGUAAGUCAGUGGUGAAAUCUCUUUGCUUAACAAAGAAACUGCCAUUGAUACUGCAAGUCUAGAGUAUAGAUGACGUUGGCGGAAUAUGACAUGUAGUGGUGAAAUACUUAGAUAUGUCAUAGAACACCGAUUGCGAAGGCAGCUAACGAAACUAUAACUGACGCUGAGGCACGAAAGUGCGGGGAUCAAACAGGAUUAGAAACCCGAGUAGU